UACGAAGGGGGCUAGAGUUGUUCGGAAUUACUGGGCGUAAAGCGCACGUAGGCGGCCUUGUAAGAUGGGGGUGAAAUCCCCGGGCUCAACCCGGGAACUGCCUUCAUGACUGCAAAGCUAGAGGAUGCGAGAGGUUAGCGGAAUUCCGAGUGUAGAGGUGAAAUUCGUAGAUAUUCGGAAGAACACCAGUGGCGAAGGCGGCUAACUGGCGCAUUUCUGACUCUUAGUUGCGAGAGCGUUGGGAGCAAACAGG
RNAcentral lists this ribosomal RNA (253 nucleotides) under uncultured bacterium. RNAcentral describes it as "partial 16S ribosomal RNA". It matches the Rfam family "Bacterial small subunit ribosomal RNA", at positions 524 to 776 of the family's 1533-position model. The record is from RNAcentral.